UGGACGAUUAGCUCAGCGGGAGAGCGCUUCCCUGACACGGAAGAGGUCACUGGUUCAAUCCCAGUAUCGUCCACCC
This 76-nucleotide transfer RNA is filed under the name Nonomuraea coxensis DSM 45129. Its description in RNAcentral is "tRNA-Val". It matches the Rfam family "tRNA". Rfam says of the family: Transfer RNA (tRNA) molecules are approximately 80 nucleotides in length. Their secondary structure includes four short double-helical elements and three loops (D, anti-codon, and T loops). The record is from RNAcentral. Lineage: Bacteria; Bacillati; Actinomycetota; Actinomycetes; Streptosporangiales; Streptosporangiaceae.